UAUAAUGGUUUGAUUUUUCUAAAUGAUACAAAACAAAUGAGGCGAGAGAGAAUAAAUAUGUUUCUAAAUUUUUUUCAAUUCCAUCAAACAUUUCAUUACCCUCGUUUGUCAAGACUGGAAGUAAUCCAUCUAAAUUGCAUAUCUUCAGUUUGAAGGAGGACACCAGUUGUUGGGAACCUAUAAGUUUUCUCAAAAAACAUUCUAUUUUCACUG
RNAcentral lists this long non-coding RNA (213 nucleotides) under Ananas comosus (pineapple). RNAcentral describes it as "long non-coding RNA (ACOM_LNC026273)". Lineage: Eukaryota; Viridiplantae; Streptophyta; Magnoliopsida; Poales; Bromeliaceae. The record is from RNAcentral.